GUUUACGGCCCAUAUCCUGGUGAAAAUACGGCUUUCCCGUCCGAUCAGCCAUAGUCAAGCACCAGAGAGCCCAGUUAGUAUUGUAGUGGGAGACCAUACGAGAAUCCUGGGUACUGUAAUU
Molecule: ribosomal RNA, 121 nt
Filed under: Yarrowia lipolytica
Lineage: Eukaryota; Fungi; Ascomycota; Dipodascomycetes; Dipodascales
Source: RNAcentral